Molecule: ribosomal RNA, 250 nt
Filed under: uncultured bacterium
Lineage: Bacteria
Description: partial 16S ribosomal RNA
Rfam family: Bacterial small subunit ribosomal RNA
Source: RNAcentral
UGGGGAAUAUUGGACAAUGGGGGCAACCCUGAUCCAGCCAUGCCGCGUGAGUGAUGAAGGCCCUAGGGUUGUAAAGCUCUUUUAACGGGGAAGAUAAUGACGGUACCCGUAGAAUAAGCCCCGGCUAACUUCGUGCCAGCAGCCGCGGUAAUACGAAGGGGGCUAGCGUUGCUCGGAAUCACUGGGCGUAAAGGGUGCGUAGGUGGAUUUUUAAGUCAGGGGUGAAAUCCUGGAGCUCAACUCCAGAACU